CCUGGUGGCUGAGAGGUUAAAGCGUCUGCCUGCAAUGCGGGAGACCUGGGUUCGAUCCCUGGGUCAGGA
This 69-nucleotide transfer RNA is filed under the name Capra hircus (goat). It matches the Rfam family "tRNA". From Rfam's summary of the family: Transfer RNA (tRNA) molecules are approximately 80 nucleotides in length. Their secondary structure includes four short double-helical elements and three loops (D, anti-codon, and T loops). The record is from Rfam by way of RNAcentral. RNAcentral also lists the same sequence under 1 other name. Lineage: Eukaryota; Metazoa; Chordata; Mammalia; Artiodactyla; Bovidae.